Molecule: ribosomal RNA, 495 nt
Filed under: uncultured bacterium
Lineage: Bacteria
Description: partial 16S ribosomal RNA
Rfam family: Bacterial small subunit ribosomal RNA
Source: RNAcentral
GACGAACGCUGGCGGCGUGCCUAAUACAUGCAAGUAGAACGCUGAAGGAGGAGCUUGCUUCUCUGGAUGAGUUGCGAACGGGUGAGUAACGCGUAGGUAACCUGCCUGGUAGCGGGGGAUAACUAUUGGAAACGAUAGCUAAUACCGCAUAAUAGCAGUUGUUGCAUGACAACUGUUUGAAAGGUGCAAUUGCACCACUACCAGAUGGACCUGCGUUGUAUUAGCUAGUUGGUGGGGUAACGGCUCACCAAGGCGACGAUACAUAGCCGACCUGAGAGGGUGAUCGGCCACACUGGGACUGAGACACGGCCCAGACUCCUACGGGAGGCAGCAGUAGGGAAUCUUCGGCAAUGGACGGAAGUCUGACCGAGCAACGCCGCGUGAGUGAAGAAGGUUUUCGGAUCGUAAAGCUCUGUUGUAAGAGAAGAACGAGUGUGAGAGUGGAGAGUUCACACUGUGACGGUAUCUUACCAGAAAGGGACGGCUAACUACGUG